AUUGAACGCUGGCGGCAGGCUUAACACAUGCAAGUCGAGCGGGGUGAUGGUGCUUGCACUAUCACUUAGCGGCGGACGGGUGAGUAAUGCUUAGGAAUCUGCCUAUUAGUGGGGGACAACAUCUCGAAAGGGAUGCUAAUACCGCAUACGUCCUACGGGAGAAAGCAGGGGAUCACUUGUGACCUUGUGCUAAUAGAUGUGCCUAGGUCGGAUUAGCUAGUUGGUGGAGUAAAGGCCUACCAAGGCGACGAUCUGUAGCGGGUCUGAGAGGAUGAUCCGCCACACUGGGACUGAGACACGGCCCAGACUCCUACGGGAGGCAGCAGUGGGGAAUAUUGGACAAUGGGGGGAACCCUGAUCCAGCCAUGCCGCGUGUGUGAAGAAGGCCUUAUGGUUGUAAAGCACUUUAAGCGAGGAGGAGGCUCUUUUGGUUAAUACCCAAGAUGAGUGGACGUUACUCGCAGAAUAAGCACCGGCUAACUCUGUGCCAGCCGCCGCAGUAA
This 503-nucleotide ribosomal RNA is filed under the name uncultured bacterium. RNAcentral's name for it is "partial 16S ribosomal RNA". It matches the Rfam family "Bacterial small subunit ribosomal RNA", at positions 30 to 523 of the family's 1533-position model. The record is from RNAcentral.